This 412-nucleotide unclassified non-coding RNA is filed under the name soil metagenome. RNAcentral's name for it is "partial contains 5.8S ribosomal RNA, internal transcribed spacer 2, and large subunit ribosomal RNA". The stretch from base 1 to 122 matches the Rfam family "5.8S ribosomal RNA", at positions 35 to 154 of the family's 154-position model. The record is from RNAcentral.
GAUGAAGAACGUAGCGGAAUGCGAUACUUGGUGUGAAUUGCAGAAUCCCGUGAACCAUCGAGUCUUUGAACGCAAGUUGCGACCGAAGCCGUCAGGCCGAGGGCACGCCUGCCUGGGCGUCACACGCCGUUGCCCCCCCGCGCCCCGCACCCAACUCUUUGGGAGCGACCGCGGGGCGGGCUGAUGAUGGCCUCCCGUGCGCUCCGCCGCGCGGUUGGCCCAAAUACCGAGUCCCCGGCGACGUGCGCCACGACGAUCGGUGGUUGAGAGACCUCUGUCGCAAGUCGUGCGCGCCCGUCGCGUCACGCGGGCUCGCAUAGCGCCUCGCGCCGCACCCGGUGCGGAGCUUUCAACGCGACCCCAGGUCAGGCGGGGUUACCCGCUGAAUUUAAGCAUAUCAAUAAGCGGAGGA